UACGUAGGGUGCAAGCGUUAUCCGGAAUGAUUGGGCGUAAAGCGUCCGCAGGUGGCAAUGUAAGUCUGCUGUUAAAGAGUCUAGCUCAACUAGAUAAAAGCAGUGGAAACUACAUAGCUAGAGUACGUUCGGGGCAGAGGGAAUUCCUGGUGUAGCGGUGAAAUGCGUAGAGAUCAGGAAGAACACCAGUGGCGAAGGCGCUCUGCUAGGCCGUAACUGACACUGAGGGACGGAAGCGUGGGGAGCAAACAGG
RNAcentral lists this ribosomal RNA (253 nucleotides) under uncultured bacterium. Its description in RNAcentral is "partial 16S ribosomal RNA". It matches the Rfam family "Bacterial small subunit ribosomal RNA", at positions 524 to 776 of the family's 1533-position model. The record is from RNAcentral.